This 947-nucleotide long non-coding RNA is filed under the name Marmota monax (woodchuck). The record is from RNAcentral. Lineage: Eukaryota; Metazoa; Chordata; Mammalia; Rodentia; Sciuridae.
GUGGAGGCAGAGUUUUGGGAAUUGGGUUUGGAUAACAGUCUGGCUGUAAGUAAUAGAUAUUCAAAAUAUUAUGUUAACAUUAGAAUGUUGGGAGUGUUCAUUUAUUGUUUUUUUUAAAAAAAAAAAUCCUCUCUCAGAAUAAGCCACAGUGCCAUGACCCUCCUUUGUCCUUUUUCAAUGUUCUUUUAUUAGUCUUAGUAGACUGAAGUUUGUGUGGCGUUGAGGGGUGGUGUCCCCGUAAAUGGGGAUUGAACUCAAGUCCUUUACCACUGAGCUACAUCCUCAGCCCUUUUUAAUUUUUAUUUUAUUUUAAGAUAGUUUGAGAUAGAAUCAUGCUCCUUCCUCAGCCUCCAAAAUUGCUAGGCUUACAGGCUCGUGCCACUACACCAGGCUGAAGCAUAUUCUACAACUAAAAAAAAUUUUAAAAAAAUAAUAUAUGUAUAUAUUUUUUUAAAAUAUUUUUUUUAGUUGUAGAUGGACACAAUAUCUUUUUUUUAUUUGGUGUUGAAGAUCGAACACAGGGCCUCACGUGUGCAAGGCAAGCGCUCUACCAUUGAGCUACAACCCCAGCCCUGAAGUACAUUGUUAUAGCAUACUUUUACCAUUCAAAGUUGUAAUAUAUUUGCUUAUUCUGAAGAGCCACUAAAAUUCUGUUGAUUCUUUUGGUUAUUAUUCAAGUCACAAAUUCCGUGGUUAACAUUAAGCCAGGUGAAAGAAACUAGACAAAACACCACAUAUCCAAUGAAAUAUCCAGAAUAGGUCAACCCAAAGAGAUAGAAGGUAGACUAAUUGGUUGCCAAGGGAAGGGAAAAGGGGGGAAAGAGAUUUCUUUUGGGGGUGAUAAAAAUGUUCUAAAAUUAGAUGGUGGUGAUGGUUGCACAAUUUUGUGAAUAAAUAGUAAGCCUCAGAGUUGUCACUUGAAAAGAAUGAUAUAAGCCAGUGCAGCG